AUUAUUAAAUAUUAUUUCACGAAGGGAGUCGAGCUACUUAAUAAAGCACAAUAGUGUUAAAAUUACAUGUUGCAUCAUGUAAGGCAUAUUAUUAGUUAGGGGUGAUAGGCUUCACAAGACCCCCAAUAUCUUGAUUUUUAGGAAACAUAUUAAGUAUUUAAUCAACUUAGAAGUGCCAAGGUUUCUAAGAUUUAUUAAAUCAAUAUUUUAGCUUAGUAGUCUAUCUAACGAUAUUUAUUUAUGUUUUAAUAACAUUGAGUAUUGAAAGUUUAUAUAUAUUACUAGAAUAUGCUUUAUAGUGGCUAAAGCAUUAUUACUGUUGAUAUUAGUAUUACUAAUAAUAACCCUCCUAGGAACUCGGCAAGAGGCCUCUCAACUGUUUAUCAAAAACAUAGCUAGGCGUAUUUACUGUUUAGUGAUUUCUGCUCAAUGGUAAGACUAAAUAGCCGCAGUACCUUGACUGUGCAAAGGUAGCAUAAUCAUUUGGCUUAUAAUUGAAGUCUGGCAUGAAGGAAUACAUGGGUGGCAACUGUCUUUUAGGGUUGACUAGAACUUACUUAGCAAGUGAAAAUUCUUGUAGUUAAAUAAUAGACGAGAAGACCCUAGAAAUUUUAUAUAAAAUAAUAUAGUGUUAGUAUUAUUUUGUUGGGGCGACAGAAUAACAAGAAACUUAUUUUAUAAAGUUUGAACUAACUGGUGAGAUAAAGUAAAUUACUCUAGGGAUAACAGCAUAAUCUAUAAGAGUUUGUGACCUCGAUGUUGGACUAGGAAUUUUAUUGUUUAGAAGACACUAAAAUAGGCUCUGUUCGAGCUAUUAUCCCUACAUGAUCUGAGUUCAGACCGGC
RNAcentral lists this ribosomal RNA (845 nucleotides) under Xerotricha gonzalezi. Its description in RNAcentral is "partial 16S ribosomal RNA". The stretch from base 368 to 527 matches the Rfam family "Archaeal large subunit ribosomal RNA", at positions 1883 to 2090 of the family's 2987-position model. Lineage: Eukaryota; Metazoa; Mollusca; Gastropoda; Stylommatophora; Hygromiidae. The record is from RNAcentral.